Molecule: long non-coding RNA, 521 nt
Filed under: Oryzias sinensis (Chinese medaka)
Lineage: Eukaryota; Metazoa; Chordata; Actinopteri; Beloniformes; Adrianichthyidae
Description: lncRNA (ENSOSIG00000004721.1)
Source: RNAcentral
AAGCUCGAUCUAGAACCUUGUUAAGGUUCAGCUGUGAUAAAUGCACAUUUUUGCAUUUUCUUAACUGGUCUUUAGAUUUUGAUCAGGAGUUUUUGAUCAAAGAACAAUGGAUUCUUCUCUGGAAGACAAGAUCCCUUUUUAUUUUUUCUCUCAUAGCUCCACAAACAGAGACGUGUCCUAAAGUCCAGAAAAGGUUCUGCAGACGUGAACAAUGGCGUCUGUUGGUGCUGUGUACAGUCCUGUCAGCUGGGAUCAUCAUUCUAUCCUCAUUCACGUGGGUCAACAAUAACAAUCUGCAGAUGGAAGUCAAGGAGCAAAAGAAUCACUCUGAAGACAUGGUGGUUAACAUUAACAAUCUGCACAGAGAAGUGAAGGAGCUAAAGAUACACUUUGAAGAUCCUCUGGUGUCUGUGGAAAACAACAGACUGAAAACCAGAAACAAUCACCUGCAGACUGAAAUUUCAGGUAAAACGUCUCCUUUUCCAAAUGUUGCAUAUUUGUUCUUUAUUCAUGUUUUCUAA